CAAUAGCGUAUAUUAAAGUUGUUGCAGUUAAAAAGCUCGUAGUUGGAUUUCUGGUAGGAGCGACCAUACCGGACUUGAUUGUCCGCGUAAUGCGUUGUCUCCAGCCAUCCUCGUGGAGAUUGUUUUUGGCAUUAACUUGUCGAAUUCGGGACCCGCGUCAUUUACUGUGAAAAAAUUAGAGUGUUUAAAGCAGGCAAUUGGCUUGAAUACAUUAGCAUGGAAUAAUAAGAUAGGACUUUGGUGCUAUUUUGUUGGUUUGCACAUCAAGGUAAUGAUUAACAGAAUCAGUCGGGGAUAUUCGUAUGCAAAUGUCAGAGGUGAAAUUCUUGGAUUUUUUACAGACGAGCAACUGCGAAAGCAUUUAUCAAGGAUGUUUUCAUUAA
RNAcentral lists this ribosomal RNA (383 nucleotides) under uncultured eukaryote. RNAcentral describes it as "partial 18S ribosomal RNA". It matches the Rfam family "Eukaryotic small subunit ribosomal RNA", at positions 592 to 976 of the family's 1831-position model. The record is from RNAcentral.